RNAcentral lists this ribosomal RNA (1092 nucleotides) under Bacillus amyloliquefaciens. RNAcentral's name for it is "bacterial SSU rRNA". The stretch from base 1 to 973 matches the Rfam family "Bacterial small subunit ribosomal RNA", at positions 532 to 1533 of the family's 1533-position model. Lineage: Bacteria; Bacillati; Bacillota; Bacilli; Caryophanales; Bacillaceae. The record is from RNAcentral.
GGGGGGACGUUCUCCGGAUAUUGCGGCGUAAGGGCUCGCAGGCGGUUUCUUAAGUCUGAUGUGAAAGCCCCCGGCUCAACCGGGGAGGGUCAUUGGAAACUGGGGAACUUGAGUGCAGAAGAGGAGAGUGGAAUUCCACGUGUAGCGGUGAAAUGCGUAGAGAUGUGGAGGAACACCAGUGGCGAAGGCGACUCUCUGGUCUGUAACUGACGCUGAGGAGCGAAAGCGUGGGGAGCGAACAGGAUUAGAUACCCUGGUAGUCCACGCCGUAAACGAUGAGUGCUAAGUGUUAGGGGGUUUCCGCCCCUUAGUGCUGCAGCUAACGCAUUAAGCACUCCGCCUGGGGAGUACGGUCGCAAGACUGAAACUCAAAGGAAUUGACGGGGGCCCGCACAAGCGGUGGAGCAUGUGGUUUAAUUCGAAGCAACGCGAAGAACCUUACCAGGUCUUGACAUCCUCUGACAAUCCUAGAGAUAGGACGUCCCCUUCGGGGGCAGAGUGACAGGUGGUGCAUGGUUGUCGUCAGCUCGUGUCGUGAGAUGUUGGGUUAAGUCCCGCAACGAGCGCAACCCUUGAUCUUAGUUGCCAGCAUUCAGUUGGGCACUCUAAGGUGACUGCCGGUGACAAACCGGAGGAAGGUGGGGAUGACGUCAAAUCAUCAUGCCCCUUAUGACCUGGGCUACACACGUGCUACAAUGGACAGAACAAAGGGCAGCGAAACCGCGAGGCUAAGCCAAUCCCACAAAUCUGUUCUCAGUUCGGAUCGCAGUCUGCAACUCGACUGCGUGAAGCUGGAAUCGCUAGUAAUCGCGGAUCAGCAUGCCGCGGGUGAAUACGUUCCCCGGGCCUUGUACACACCGCCCGUCACACCACGAGAGUUUGUAACACCCGAAGUCGGUGAGGUAACCUUUUAGAACCCACCCCCCAAAGGGGGAACAAAUAAUGGGGUGAAUCUAGAGGGGGCCCCCCCAAAAAAAAAGCCGCGGACGGGCGGAGGGGAGAAAAAAGGGGAGGCCCCCGGGGGGGGAACCCGAUUGGGGGGGGGGGGGGGUUUUUUCCCCCCAAAAAAAAAUUUUUUUUUUCCACAAAUAU